This 3432-nucleotide long non-coding RNA is filed under the name Homo sapiens (human). Its description in RNAcentral is "HSALNT0164689". Lineage: Eukaryota; Metazoa; Chordata; Mammalia; Primates; Hominidae. The record is from RNAcentral.
CAGCUGGAGCUUUCCUUCUCCCUGUGGUCUUUUCCCAGUACCUCUGGCAGCUCUCCCCAAAGGACCUCUGUGAGACAAGUCUGAAAUAGCUUCCCAGGGGACGCACAGAGCCCACAGAUCUUUUUUCCGCUGCUUCCUCUACCCCUGUAUUUCACUCGACUCUCUAAAUUGACUCAGCUCUAGACCUUCAAGGAAUGUGUUGACCAUUAAGUCCCAAUAUUUUUAUACUCUAUUGUGAUCCUCUGAAAAUGGAUCAUUCUGAGUGAGCACACCAAAUGAAGUUUUUUAAAAGAGGAGGGGAGGUCUUACUCAUAACAGUCAGUUUCCUGCAUGGUAUUUGAACAACUUAGAGAGAAUCGAGUAAUGGUAGCGCCCUUCUUCAGUGAAGGUUUCUUCCUGGAAACAGAACCGGAAGAAGCAAGUGGUCAAAGGUCACAUUGGAUCAGCUACAAUGAUGGACAGCAGGGAAGAGUCUCAAUGGGUACUAUUGUGUCCACGCUGGGCAUUACCUGUGUUGCAGCCACACAGACCUGAUUUAGGCUGCCCUUGCAAGUAGCAAGUACUAAACACCAUUAUUGUUUUGAUGAAAAGGGUCCUGUGGAUUGUUUUUGGUCUGCAUGUUAACAAAGAAAAGAAGAAAGACAGCCAGGUUAUUUCUUGAAAACAGCAAGAAAGACAUUUUUCCCUUGAAAAUGUACAAGAUACAUCUCCGCUGGAAACACACACAUGCACACACACACACACACACACACAAACAAAUGAAAAAUCCUUUCAUCCAGAAUCUGUGGUUUGCUUUCUUUUAUUCCUUAGUAUACAUGAGUAUGUGAAAACACACAACACUCAGACAUGCAGCCUGAUCAAGUGAUAAUCUCUUAUAAUGUGCUUCUAUUUAAAGCAACAAACAGAUGGAGGGUUUAUGAGUGAGGCUGGUAAAAGUAAAAGCAAAUGACUGCAAUAGUUGUACUUUUAAUAGGAUUCCCCACAAUCCAAGACAUUAUUCCCUGAGGAACAAAUUGUUCUUUAAAAUUAUGUUACUUAGGAAAGAGACAGUCGUCCUGACAUUGCUGAGGCAACAGAGAGCUGCAGGACAGCCUUGAAUUGCCGAGGUCUCUCCACUCAAGUCAGUGUCCUAGGGGAGGAAAGACAGUGAUGUCAGGCACCACAAUCCCCAAAGAACAAGCUCAGUGGAAUAGGAUAAAAGGAAGAAAGACCAAAGGGUAAAGGGGGUACAAAACAUGUCUGGGCCCUGAUUGAAUUUAUUACUUUCUACUUCUCAACUUUGAAAAACAAGGUUUGGGAAAUUCCUACAGAUUUAGGAUAAACAUGCAACAUGGGUUCUACCUCUGCCAAUUCAGACCAAAGUCUAGCUCUAGCACAGCAAAUUUUGGUUAACACACAGUGGAACUGUAACCAACCCAGCACUUCAUUAUCACUAUCCCUGCUUAAGAGAAACAAAGCUGACUAUAAUUCUAUCAAUAAGAUGAAUAUACCUUAGUGAUGGCCUUUAGGUUUUGCUGUCAUCAAACUGACCUAAUACUGGGAGGACAAUGAACACUUGGUCUAAAUGGAAGAAGCAGAAAAAUAAACACUAUCGUGUCAAGAACAAUCAAUCAACCUUUUGAACAUCUUCUAGAGUGAUUUGACUGGUGCACCAGCAAGUUAGAUAAACUUUGAGUCACCCAACUAGCAAUGAUCACACUUAUGUUCCUUGUGACAUUAGUGCUAGUGCACAGCCAAGCAUACAGGAAGACAGAGCACUGUCUCACAACCUGUGGAUUUGAUUUCUGAGAGGUCAUGACAAAGAUGCAAAAUCCAAAAGGGUAAACUUCGACUCCAGAUCUCACUUACAUGCAACUUGAAUGGCAAGUGCCGCCCUAGAAACAGGCUGGAUGCUCCUGGAACGUGGGCUGGGAUGUGUUCUGUGCCACAUUCCCGAGCCUUCUUUCUGGCUGGCAUUGAUAAAAGUCCUUUUUAAGGCCUACCCUGUUUCUUUGGGCCUGGAAGCAAGAAUGUUUAUAGACAUCCUGGUGAGAGAAGGCUGUUUGAUGAAUGCAGGAGACUGCGGCUAGGUGUCAGCACUUGGAAAAUGAGGCAAGGACAUGAGGUAUUAAUAUUGUCAAUGAUCUCUUGACAGGAAAACAGAUACUGCAUUCACUGUCAGAUUUAAAUAGACAUCAAGUGCAUUAACGACAAAAGGGCAGACUUCAAACAAAGGGGCUGUGUGGUGAAGAGCCGAGCUAGUCUCUGUGCUGGCAACAGCCUGAUCUGAAAAGACACCAUCAGGGUUGCAGACAGGCCCAGGAUUGUGUGCGGUGACAGAAAACAGAGAUACUGACAGAGAUACCAGCGCCAUAUUAUGCCAAGGAUAUUCUAACGCUGCCUGCGGCUCUAACGAAAGCUGACAUCACUCCCCAUCACUUGGGGUCGUCUCUGCCUGCCCCUGCAGAACAUCUCUCCCCAGACAUCAUUACAAAACUCACUGUGGCUGCAAAGGUCCUGGCAGUUCUGUUCUGCUGGAGUGGUGGGGUCAAGGGGCCUAAGGAUAACCUCAGUCAAUCUAAAUUUGGAAUUUGCAGGAGGAGCACGCCCGACCCCACUGAUAUCUUGGCUACUUGAGGUGAUCAGAAGGCCAUUGUGUGAGGAGCUGUCACCUUGAAUAAACUCCCAGAAAGGACGGCACUCAGUCUGUGGGCUGCUCCAGGAAGGCGUGGGGACGGCCUGGCAGUUGAAAAUGAGAUCCAGCUGCUGGUGCUCGCCCGGGGAGAAAGGUGCUCUGGCUAGCAAUGCUAAGAAUCGGCUGAAAUUGUCAAACUCAAACCAUCUCCAGCAGCUGAAAUUAAGCGAGAAUUGCCUCUGUGAGUCUCCUCCCAGAGCUCAGAGUUGGGAUGUGAUUACCCCCAAUAUGUGACUUUUGUGUUCAAAAAUAAAUAAAUAAAAUUAACCAGGAAAAGCAAACAUGCACGAAACAGCACAGUCCCAUGUGUGGCCACAGGCCUUUAUUUAUCAUGAAGGUUAUUUGUAAAAUAUGAGGCUCUGCUCGUAAAUUAAGUGAGGUGGCAUUGUGUUUCUCUCUCCCUCGUCCUCCCCACAGCCCUUCUUCUCCCGCCAUGGCAACUGCCAUCAACUGUGAAAAUUACGGAGGGAACAGUUUGCUUGCAAAGAACAUUUUGAUGGGGAGGCACUCCGAGGCUGGAAUUUGGGAACCCGCUGGUUUGUGACUCAGUAGGCAAUGGUUUCUCUACACAUCUGCAACGGAUUCAUUUGUUUCUAUCUCUUCAAACUACAACUUCUUGGGACUGGAGGGGGAACAACACAUUUAAUGGCAUAUGCAGUGUUUUUAAUUAAAAGAUCUGGCUUUGGCCAUAGUAAGUAAAGCAGGCUUGCCCUGUGUCAGGCUGACGUGCAGCUGUCUGUGUGGGGUUUCUUUUCGAA